RNAcentral lists this long non-coding RNA (755 nucleotides) under Homo sapiens (human). RNAcentral's name for it is "long intergenic non-protein coding RNA 2020". The record is from RNAcentral. Lineage: Eukaryota; Metazoa; Chordata; Mammalia; Primates; Hominidae.
CACCUGUAGAAGGCACUUACCAUGAAUUGAACUUGCAGGCUUGGAAAUAUCUCUGGGUUCUGCUUGAAUUCUUGCCCUGGCUCUUGGUGAAGGAUCGGCCUGCUGGAUCUGAGUCAUCCACCUAUAAGAGGGACAACACCACACAUUGGUCGCUGCUCUCAAGCCCCUGGAAUACCACCCCACUUGGCUUCUCCUGGUAACAGUGGCUGCCUUUGCUUGCCUGUCUCCAACUCCUCCCAAGAGCAUUGCUGACUAGAUGGGCUCUCACUAUAGCCCUGUUCUGGAACUCCUGGGCUCAAGCCAUCCUCCCACUUUGGCCUCCCCAAAAUGCUGGGAUUACAGGCGUGAACCACCGCAUCUAGCCUAAAAUUAUAUUGUUAAAAGACUUUGUUUCUCAGUUUGGGAUAAUCAGAAUUCAUAGUUCUGAUCUCGACUACCAGUUUUAAUGAGGUACUUCUUUCUAACUCCAUCAGCUGUGUGGCUAUCUGCAGGGAGCCAGCUGCCAUGUCAUGCAGACACUCAAGCAGCCCUAUGGAGAAGCCACAUGGAGAGGGGCUGAGGCCUGUUUCCCACAGCCAUGUGAGUGGGCCAUUCCGGAAGCAGAUCAUCCAGCCCUCGCCAAGCUGACAGACGACUGCAUCCCCAGCCAACAUCUAGACUGGAGCCUCACGAGAGACCAACCCGGAGACCCCACCCAGCUAAGCCACUCCAGAAUCCCUGACCCCAAACAUUGUGACAUGAUAAAAAUGUGUUGU